Molecule: ribosomal RNA, 492 nt
Filed under: Aetokthonos hydrillicola CCALA 1050
Lineage: Bacteria; Bacillati; Cyanobacteriota; Cyanophyceae; Nostocales; Hapalosiphonaceae
Description: partial 23S ribosomal RNA
Rfam family: Bacterial large subunit ribosomal RNA
Source: RNAcentral
AGCCAGAAGUGGCUAAUGGUGGAUACCUAGGCACACAGAGGCGAAGAAGGACGUGGUUACCAACGAAAAGCUUCGGGGAGCUGGAAGCAAGCAACGAGCCGAAGAUAUCCGAAUGGGGCAACCCAGAAUACAGCUUACUGAAUAUAUAGGUAAGCAUGAGCGAACCCAGCGAAUUGAAACAUCUUAGUAGCUGGAGGAAGAGAAAUCAAAAGAGAUUCCCCUAGUAGUGGUGAGCGAAAGGGGAAGAGCCUAAACCAAGGUGCUUGCACUUUGGGGUAGUGGGACAGCGAUAUCGAAUCCGGAGAUUAGACGAAGCAGCUAAGUACUGCACCAGAGAAGGUGAAAGUCCUGUAGUCGAAAAUUAAAAGGAUAGUAGCUGAAUCCCGAGUAGCAUGGGACACGGGAAAUCCCAUGUGAAUCAGCGAGGACCAUCUCGUAAGGCUAAAUACUACUGUGUGACCGAUAGAGAACAAGUACCGCGAGGGAAAGGUG